CAGGAAAUGCAGCGCCCCACUGACGGUGGAGGGCUGUGGGCGGGUUUUUGCUGCUCGGGUGAGAGCUGAGGGGAGCGGGUGGCACCACGGUGAGCGGCGCGCGCGGGUACCGCUUCUCACACCGCAGCCAGGAUGCGGUACGGCUGGGGGAAGCGGAGAAGAAGCGAGAAUGGUCAGCUGCUGUGCAACGUGCAGCUGAGGAAGUUAAGACUCUUCAGCCUGGUAAAAAAAAAAACAAGCAACAAACCUCCUGUAGUAAGAGACUGUAAAAUGGAAUAGGUGGCUUAGGAAGAAACGCCAAGAAAACUGUUUAUGAUGUGGCCUGAAUUGUCUUUAUCUUCUAAUUGAAGAAACAGUACUAGAACAGCUAUAUUCCCUGAAAGGUGAAGGAGAAAAGAAGGUGGAUAAGGGUGAAAGACUUGCGAGAUUAAAGAUGUGAGCUUGGGGUUGUUUCCUGCUGAAGAACUGGAUCAUUAAAAGCCUGACAGUUCCUUACCAAACUCUUAAAAGAAAUGUGUGGGUGUAGUAGGGCGAGCAAAAAGUAAGAAACCAUCACCACAUGUGUGCUGGUGGUGAUUAGUGGGAGAAACAGGCUCUAAAAGGAGCCUGAUGUGAUGUGUGCCCCAGCACUUGGCAGGCUGUAUCGUCACAGUAAAAAAAGAAAAAAAGUUGGGAAUUACUUUAAGCAGUUUGAAAUGGGCAUAACUUGUUGCUAAAUUAGACUGGUGAUAACUUUUCACUGGGGUGAACUAUUCUGUAAUGCAUAGGGUAAAAAGCAUGUGGACUUUGAUUGUCCAUAAAAAUGUGCUGAUUUAGUGUUCUAAAUAUUGGAAAAAUCAACUUUUGAGGUAGUUGGUGAAAUGCAAAAGUGAACCUGGGCACUUUAACCUUCCACUUUAACAGAGGAAGUGAAAUGCAUCUUGUGGGACUUCUGGUAUUACUGAAAAACAAACAAAAUGUGGGACCGUUUGUUUCCAUUUUGGCACUUUUCUCUUGGAAAUUUGCAAUGUGUCAUUUUGCCACGGGGUGUCACUAAAAACAUGCUGUGAGCUGUUAUGCUCCGUGUUUUUCUAGUUGAAAACUGUGGGCCUAACCAAGGCAACUCUCUGUUCCCUUAAUUAGAACCAGAAUUUGCUAAAAACAUGUAAAGUGUGCAGAUCACCAGGUGGACAGGUAAAAAUGUCAUGGGUCUGUUUCUGAUAUGCUGAAGGAUAAAAUACACACAGAACAACAAAUACCUUUCCUGAAAAGUGGCUAUUGUUGAAGACAGACCAAGCAAGAUUAUUAGAAAUAUUCUGACAGUAAGCAAAAAGUAUGAAUUUAUAAAUACACACCAUGAUUUAUUUAUCUCUUCACUUGGUCUAAUGAGAACUGCAUUAUAUAGAAAACUGUGAGAUUUGGAGGGUGAGGUUAAUAGAAGAGAAGUAGUGCAAAGCUGUACUCAUGCCAUCUUCUCUGUGGACCUAAAUAACAACCUUUCUGGAUUGGACUUCAAAAAUUUCUUGUGUCUCAACUAUUAUCGUAUAAAUCAUGUAUCUGCAAAAUAUAGCAAUGAUUAUUUUUGCUUUUGAAAACAA
Molecule: long non-coding RNA, 1577 nt
Organism: Gavia stellata (red-throated loon)
Lineage: Eukaryota; Metazoa; Chordata; Aves; Gaviiformes; Gaviidae
Exons: 2
Source: RefSeq, a predicted model, not a curated record